RNAcentral lists this transfer RNA (87 nucleotides) under bacterium. Its description in RNAcentral is "tRNA-Pro". The record is from RNAcentral.
GCGCCCGUGGUGAAAUUUGGUAUACGCGCCGCACUUGGACUGCGGCUGUAGGUUUUUACCAUGAGAGUUCGACCCUCUCCGGGCGUG